GCCUCGGUUAGCGCAGGCAGCAGCAGCGUCAGUCUCAUAAUCUGAAGGUCGUGAGUUCGAUCCUCACCCGGGGCA
Non-coding RNA from Dreissena polymorpha, 75 nucleotides. Lineage: Eukaryota; Metazoa; Mollusca; Bivalvia; Myida; Dreissenidae. The record is from the annotation of a RefSeq genome assembly.